Molecule: long non-coding RNA, 390 nt
Filed under: Monodelphis domestica (gray short-tailed opossum)
Lineage: Eukaryota; Metazoa; Chordata; Mammalia; Didelphimorphia; Didelphidae
Description: lncRNA (ENSMODG00000037561.1)
Source: RNAcentral
AAGGAAAUGUCAUAAAGAUAAAGGCUAAGAGGCCCAAUCUUUAAAAAGAGCUGUGAAAAGGGUAGGAAAUAAACAACAACACAAGAUGGGGAAAAUGACAGGACUGAUGUGAUUUCCAUGGGUGGAAAAUUCCACCAAAUUGUAAAUAGUUUCUCUUCCUAAGUUCACAGUAAGAUUGUCAGUGCUGAUAAACUACACCUAGGAGAUGCCAAGUUGGGAAGAUGACAUCUUUCAAGGAUGUGGAAUCCAAUUCUCCCUUCAGAGAUGGGAAAAAAGGAGUGGGCCAUCAUGAAAGCAUUGGGAUGAGGAAGCUGAGGUAUGUCCAGAGAACUUUAAUUACUUGGUCAAAGUCCCAUAGUCAGUAUGUAGUGGCAGGGAAUUUCCCAGCCU